CCUUUGUGAACAUACCUCUGUUGCUUUGGCGGCUCUCGGGGCCUCGCAGCCUCGCGUCCGCCAGAGGACCUUCAAACUCCAGUCAGUAAACGUCGACGUCUGAUAAACAAGUUAAUAAACUAAAACUUUCAACAACGGAUCUCUUGGUUCUGGCAUCGAUGAAGAACGCAGCGAAAUGCGAUAAGUAAUGUGAAUUGCAGAAUUCAGUGAAUCAUCGAAUCUUUGAACGCACAUUGCGCCCCUUGGCAUUCCGAGGGGCAUGCCUGUUCGAGCGUCAUUACAACCCUCAAGCUCUGCUUGGUAUUGGGCGUCGUCCUCUGCGGACGCGCCUCAAAGACCUCGGCGGUGGCGUCUAGCCCUCAAGCGUAGUAGAAAACACCUCGCUUUGGAGCGGUUGGCGUCGCCCGCCGGACGAACCUUCUGAACUCGGCGAGUGAAGCGGCAAUAGCUCAAAUUUGAAAGCUGGCCCUUUCAGGGUCCGCGUUGUAAUUUGUAGAGGAUGAUUCGGCGAGGGCUCCCGCCUAAGUCCCCUGGAACGGGGCGUCAUAGAGGGUGAGAAUCCCGUAUGUGGUGGGCUGCCUUAGCCAUGUGAAUCUCCUUCGACGAGUCGAGUUGUUUGGGAAUGCAGCUCUAAAUGGGAGGUAAAUUUCUUCUAAAGCUAAAUACCGGCCAGAGACCGAUAGCGCACAAGUAGAGUGAUCGAAAGAUGAAAAGCACUUUGGAAAGAGAGUUAAAAAGUACGUGAAAUUGUUGAAAGGGAAGCGCUUGCAACCAGACUUGUCCGCAGUUGCUCAGCCGGUCUCCUGACCGGCGUACUCUUCUGCGGCCAGGCCAGCAUCAGUUCGGGCGGUCGGAUAAAGACCUCGGGAAUGUAGCUCCUCUCGGGGAGUGUUAUAGCCCGGGGUGGAAUGCGGCCAGCCUGGACUGAGGAUCUCGCUUCGGCAAGGAUGCUGGCGUAAUGGUUGUAAGCGGCCCGUCUUGAAACACGGACCAAGGAGUCUAACAUCUAUGCGAGUGUUUGGGUGUCAAACCCAUACGCGUAAUGAAAGUGAACGGAGGUGGGAACCCGCAAGGGCGCACCAUCGGCCGAUCCUGAUGUCUUCGGAUGGAUUUGAGCAAGAGCAUA
RNAcentral lists this small RNA (1126 nucleotides) under Botryosphaeriales sp. TK34. RNAcentral describes it as "eukaryotic LSU rRNA". The stretch from base 417 to 1126 matches the Rfam family "Eukaryotic large subunit ribosomal RNA", at positions 1 to 804 of the family's 3401-position model. The record is from RNAcentral. Lineage: Eukaryota; Fungi; Ascomycota; Dothideomycetes; Botryosphaeriales.